AAGAGCUUGCUCUUAUGAAGUUAGCGGCGGACGGGUGAGUAACACGUGGGUAACCUGCCCAUAAGACUGGGAUAACUCCGGGAAACCGGGGCUAAUACCGGAUAACAUUUUGAACCGCAUGGUUCGAAAUUGAAAGGCGGCUUCGGCUGUCACUUAUGGAUGGACCCGCGUCGCAUUAGCUAGUUGGUGAGGUAACGGCUCACCAAGGCAACGAUGCGUAGCCGACCUGAGAGGGUGAUCGGCCACACUGGGACUGAGACACGGCCCAGACUCCUACGGGAGGCAGCAGUAGGGAAUCUUCCGCAAUGGACGAAAGUCUGACGGAGCAACGCCGCGUGAGUGAUGAAGGCUUUCGGGUCGUAAAACUCUGUUGUUAGGGAAGAACAAGUGCUAGUUGAAUAAGCUGGCACCUUGACGGUACCUAACCAGAAAGCCACGGCUAACUACGUGCCAGCAGCCGCGGUAAUACGUAGGUGGCAAGCGUUAUCCGGAAUUAUUGGGCGUAAAGCGCGCGCAGGUGGUUUCUUAAGUCUGAUGUGAAAGCCCACGGCUCAACCGUGGAGGGUCAUUGGAAACUGGGAGACUUGAGUGCAGAAGAGGAAAGUGGAAUUCCAUGUGUAGCGGUGAAAUGCGUACAGAUAUGGAGGAACACCAGUGGCGAAAGGCGACUUUUCUG
RNAcentral lists this ribosomal RNA (676 nucleotides) under Bacillus thuringiensis. RNAcentral describes it as "bacterial SSU rRNA". It matches the Rfam family "Bacterial small subunit ribosomal RNA", at positions 74 to 732 of the family's 1533-position model. The record is from RNAcentral. Lineage: Bacteria; Bacillati; Bacillota; Bacilli; Caryophanales; Bacillaceae.